UGGGAUUAAACUCAUGGACCACCAUGCAUGG
This 31-nucleotide non-coding RNA is filed under the name Mus musculus (house mouse). The record is from RNAcentral. Lineage: Eukaryota; Metazoa; Chordata; Mammalia; Rodentia; Muridae.